Molecule: unclassified non-coding RNA, 250 nt
Filed under: plant metagenome
Description: partial contains small subunit ribosomal RNA, internal transcribed spacer 1, and 5.8S ribosomal RNA
Source: RNAcentral
GUAGGUGAACCUGCGGAGGGAUCAUUAACACGUUUUACACGUAACAAACAAACUGUGAACUUAUAGUAGCAUUAGAUAGAGCUUGCUCUAUCUAUUGUUAUCUCUACCUAAGUGAAUUAGAUUGUUAACCUAAACUACUGUGAUUGGUUAUUUAGUUUCGGCUAGAUAGCAGUUAAGGUUAGCUCGAGUUCAAUCUCAAAAAUCUAUUUAUUUAGGCUUUUAUCUUAUAGCUCUAUCACACUAGACAAAC